AUUGAACGCUGGCGGCAUGCCUUACACAUGCAAGUCGAACGGCAGCACGGGUGCUUGCACCUGUUGGCGAGUGGCGAACGGGUGAGUAAUACAUCGGAACAUGUCCUGUAGUUGGGGAUAGCCCUGCGAAAGCCGGAUUAAUACCGCAUACGAUCUACGUGUGACAGCGGGGGGCCUUCAGGCCUCGCGCGAUAGGGUUGGCCGAUGGGUGAUUAGCGAGUUGUGGGGGUAAAGUCCUACCAAGACGACGAUCAGGAUCUGUUGGGAGAGGACGACAAGCCACCUUGGGACUGGGACGCGGACAAGACUACUAAGGGAGGCAGCAGUGGGGAACUUGAGACAACGGGGGAAAGCAUGAUCCAGCAAUGCGGAGCGUGUGAAGAAGGCACUGCGGUUGUAAAGCACUCUUGUGCGGAAAGAAAUGCUUGGGCCUAAUACGGUCGGGGGAUGACGGUAACGGAAGAAUAAGCACCGGCUAACUACGUG
RNAcentral lists this ribosomal RNA (486 nucleotides) under uncultured bacterium. RNAcentral describes it as "partial 16S ribosomal RNA". It matches the Rfam family "Bacterial small subunit ribosomal RNA", at positions 29 to 507 of the family's 1533-position model. The record is from RNAcentral.